Molecule: non-coding RNA, 83 nt
Organism: Branchiostoma floridae (Florida lancelet)
Lineage: Eukaryota; Metazoa; Chordata; Leptocardii; Amphioxiformes; Branchiostomatidae
Source: Rfam
UGUGUCUGUGAUGAUUCAUUCACCCACUCAUGUUUGAGUCUCGACUAUGAGAAAAUCUAACAUGUACCACCAUCUGAGACACA